GGGUACGUAGCUCAGUUGGUAGAGCACUUCCUUUGCACGGAAGGGGUCGCGGGUUCGAAACCUGUCGUAUCCA
Molecule: transfer RNA, 73 nt
Filed under: Phacotus lenticularis
Lineage: Eukaryota; Viridiplantae; Chlorophyta; Chlorophyceae; Chlamydomonadales; Phacotaceae
Description: tRNA-Ala
Rfam family: tRNA
About the family: Transfer RNA (tRNA) molecules are approximately 80 nucleotides in length.
Source: RNAcentral